This 253-nucleotide ribosomal RNA is filed under the name uncultured bacterium. Its description in RNAcentral is "partial 16S ribosomal RNA". It matches the Rfam family "Bacterial small subunit ribosomal RNA", at positions 524 to 776 of the family's 1533-position model. The record is from RNAcentral.
UACGCAGGGGGCUAGCGUUGCUCGGAAUCACUGGGCGUAAAGGGUGCGUAGGCGGGUUUUUAAGUCAGGGGUGAAAUCCUGGAGCUCAACUCCAGAACUGCCUUUGAUACUGAAGAUCUUGAGUCCGGGAGAGGUGAGUGGAACUGCGAGUGUAGAGGUGAAAUUCGUAGAUAUUCGCAAGAACACCAGUGGCGAAGGCGGCUCACUGGCCCGGUACUGACGCUGAGGCACGAAAGCGUGGGGAGCAAACAGG